GGCUCCGUAGCUUAACUGGAUAGAGCACCGCACUACGGAUGCGGAGGUUCGGGGUUCGAAUCCCUGCGGAGUCACUA
Molecule: transfer RNA, 77 nt
Filed under: Cryomorphaceae bacterium
Lineage: Bacteria; Pseudomonadati; Bacteroidota; Flavobacteriia; Flavobacteriales; Cryomorphaceae
Description: tRNA-Arg
Rfam family: tRNA
About the family: Transfer RNA (tRNA) molecules are approximately 80 nucleotides in length. Their secondary structure includes four short double-helical elements and three loops (D, anti-codon, and T loops).
Source: RNAcentral